Long non-coding RNA from Talpa occidentalis (Iberian mole), 4200 nucleotides. RefSeq lists it as uncharacterized. The transcript is spliced from 4 exons. The record is from RefSeq and is a predicted model, not a curated record. NCBI's taxonomy places the organism in Eukaryota, Metazoa, Chordata, Mammalia, Eulipotyphla, Talpidae.
CUGAUUAUGCAUGGGCUGGAGCUGCCUCCUCUAACCUGUUCUUCUCCGAGCCGGGCAGCCGGCGGUCCUCAGCCGCCCACAGAACAGGAGCCGAAACAACCGUUCCCGAAGGCUAAGGCGUUUAUUUUUCUCUUUUGGGGGUUUUGGCGGUUGUUUCAGGGGCUCGCCAACUGGCCCCUUUAAUUAAAAGCUUCAAUAAAAGGCGAUCGCGCCAGGAAUGCACGGGCUGCUCUUCGCGCAGGAUUUGCAUAUUUUUUUAAUGCCCUAAUUUCCUUGAUGUAUGUAAAUGUAGCCGGACGUAGAGGGAGACAGGGAGCUGACGUCAAUGGACGUGACCUCGCAGCUAAACCUUGAACGUGAAGCCGGGAUGGGGGAAAACACGGAGCGGCAGCCGGCGGAGCCCGCGCGCGCGGGCGGCUGCGUCGCGGCGGCCGAGUCCAGGCCCGAGAGGGCCGAGGGCGCCCGCGCCAGCCCCGGGGGAGCCGGGCCGCCGCCUCCCCGCCCCGCCGCCGGCUCCAGCCCCCCGGCUCUCCGUCCGCGCGCCCGGGCUCGUGUCCUGCGCCUCCGGCUGCACCCAAAACACGUCCUUUUGCUUCUCUCAGAAAAAAACAAACAAAAACACCCGAACCAAAGCAACAGAUCAUAAACCCAAUCAAACCCCAAAUGUCUUAGACCAAUGCUUGGGCAGCUCAUCAGAAAGAGACUCUGACAAUAGAACGUGUUGGGUUUGUUGUUUUUUUUUUUCCCUUCCUCCUCUUCUCCCACAAGGCGAGAAGGCGGGGGGGGGGGGUUGGGGGGGGGGAGACCUCAGACAACAGCAAAUCAUUCCUAAAACACGCUAAGUUACACGUGUUUCCAGUCGGGAGAGGUAAACCGCCCAGUCGACUGGAGGGGGCUUCUCGUGUCGACGCCAAAAGGAGCCUGUUUGUGUACUGCAGCCGCCCUGUGACUCUGGAUCUUGUCUUUUGGCCGGCGCCUCGAUUCCUGCCCAGCUGGAUUUGGGGGGCAACACUGCCUGGUGCAGGCAUGAGAGCAAAUGACAUUACAAAGAAGCAUAAAAUGAAUAGACAGUCCAGCCAAUCAAAGACCGGGGGCAGCAGCACGCCAGCAAGACGGCAUCUUCUCCCCAGCCUAGAAGCCCUGUGAAAUCGAGGAUCUUCCCCCUAAAACACACACACACAAGAUAUGUGCAAUCAAGCUGCCACCGCUUGGUAAAAAAGCCUAACCCAAAAGGAUCUGGAGCAGAUCCCUGAAUCAGCUGUCACUUCUUCUAUAGAAUGGGAUUUUUUUUUUCCUUCCUCCUUAACCUGCGCUGGAAAUUGCCUUUGGCUUUAUACAUCUUUAUAGAGGGAGGCAAAAGAGUCUUGCGUGAGAAUGAAGCAAUUUACAAUGCAAAUAGAGGCCGGUGAAGGGACGGAUGAUGCUGCUCACUCCUAACAGCUUGCUGCACCUUAGUAGCUGGUUUUAUUUUCUGAUAUUAAUAGUUGAAUUGUUGGCUAACGCUGGCGGAGAUUACUUGCUGAAAGGAAAAAAAAGUUCGGAAUAAACUUUGAAAGCCACAGAUCUCGUUUGGAUGUUUUAGCCGCACACACAAACAGAACCCAGGUCAUGUUUACACACCAGGAGGAAUCUGAUGCGCGGCAAGUAUCCUGGAGGACUACUCUUCGGUACUGCCAGAAAGGAUCGGGAUCUGGAGUCCGGCCAGAGGAAGACAGAGGUGUGUGAGGGAAGCGAGUUGUUAUCUUUGGUUAUCUAGCUGUAUGAGUGUAUUGGUCUUCAUAAAGCUAGAUAACCGAAAGUAAAAACUCCUUCAAGAUCGCCGGGCAGCGUGUGAGAAUGAAAGCCUCCAACCAACAGACAGUAAAAACCAGAAAGGUCAGGAAUACUUAUUGAAUCUAACUUUGUUUUUGUUUUUGUUUUUGUUUUUUUUUCCCCUUAUAAUUAAAGGUGGGAUUAGAGGAAGUGAAAUGGCACACAUAUACCAAAACAUAAAGGUGCCAGAUACUUUGAGAGGCGUUGUUACAGCUGCAAAGGAGAAUUGUAUAGAGCUAAUGAGUAAAAAGAUGCACGUGCAGUUUGUUUUAUUUUAAGGCAAAAGUUUACAUAUGAGGUUUUUUUUUCUUUAGAAAGCUAUUUGUAGAGCUGUCUGGUACUUAGUUUAAAAAUGAUUCUAUAAUGUGUGGAUUUAUGUAGUUCCCUUCUGAGGGCCCCCCUCCCCUGAAAAUUGGAAGAUUAUGUCUCCAAACUACAUGUAUUGGGGUUGUAUGACAAAUUAUAUGAAUUAGACUUUCAGAAAAGUUUAUACUGGAAGGUUAACAAUUUAUAGCUACUAAGGACAUAGAACUAGCAGGGAAAUGCAAAAAAAAAAAAAAAAAGCAAAGGCUGAUUUUUAUUCUUCUAUUCAAAAUACAAGGACAGAUGCUUCUCUGUUCCAAGAGGGUUUCCUUGAGGAAGCUACUGAAGCAGAAAGACAUGAUGGAGACGAGAUCGCCUCCCCUCUUGUCAAAGUGUUAAAAAAAUGUUCUGUCUUACUCUGCGCCUAGCAUUGGAAAUGAAAGUGACAUUUACGCCACAACCCACGUGUGCGCCUCCUCUCUUUUUGUUUAAGGAUGAUCAGGUCUAUCCAGGAAACAGCUCUGGCAUCCCAAACUGAAAUAAUUAGGACGUAUAUAGACCUGACAAAAAUGGAAAGGGGGUGGGGAAUCUGAGGGUCUGUCUUGCCUAAUUGAUUCCGCUAAACGGAAUGCAGGAGAUGUGAACGGCAGGACGCUCCGAUUCCCACGCUCGGGGGCAAGUGGUAAAGCGGGCCGGCAGCCUAUGACAGACAGCCCUGUUGGGGGGUGGGGGUAUGAAAAAAACAUCAAGUGCACACACACCAUACUCAUCUCCAUCGCUUAAGAAAGUAGAGGCAUUUCCCACCCACAGCCAUCUGCAGCCUCCCAAAUGGCAACACCAACUGGUCUGUAGCUGCUGCAUACUGUCUGUUUCUGUUAAUUUUAUAACCGCUGCUUAAUCUGUCCACAAUUAAGUUUGGCUUUCUUCUUUGGUUGAGAUUUUCAAUAUUUUUUAAAGAGAGCUUGUGCAAAGUGGUUCCAAGAAAGAACCAUUACUGCCUGCCCCUGGUGUCAAAUUCUCAGUCUGUACUUUGGCCUUGUGUCCACCUUUUGGUUUUUGUUUUGGGUGGCUUCUGUGGAAAAAGCUCUAUCUUUUGACAAUAGGCAUUGUUAUCACUUCCUCACACUGUUUACUUCUUAACCUGAUAAAUCUAGGAACUUGGCCUAAGUCUGCUGGUACACACACUAGAACUAAAGAAAGGCCAUUACAAUAACAAUAUGAUAAAAGUUGUUUUGGCAUAGUCCCAGCUAGAUGUGUUCUAAACAGUCAUUUGCAUUUUAUCUAAAAAUGACUAUGUUUAGCAAAAACUUUGGCUCUUUGGAAGUCCCCACUGUAAUCUUCUCAUAAAAGUCCUUACAUUUUUUUCUUGUGUUACCAAGCAAGUAUUCGUACAGGCACGACAUUGCAAUAAGCAAAUGCCCAAAAUGGCACGUUACCUUCCAUGUGGUCUAGGUUGCUGACAACCCCAAAUCCCAAAUACAUAAUUUUUCUUCAAAAAACAGUAUGUUUUUCUUUGUAGCUUCAAUUCUUUAUAAGACUUGAGAAGACUUUACAGACUGAAAAGCCUGUAAAACCAUUGUUAGUUUCAGUUAGAAACUCCAAGACACUUUAUUAACGUAAAUUCCCAAUUUGGCUGCUGAACACGUGCCAAAGUUUUACUACUGUAGUGACCGUUGAGAAGACCCUUGUUUAUUUACAUUUGAAGCACUGUUUGUGCAAACAACCUUUCAUUGUUAAGUGCCUGUAUUCCUUUCAUUUACUUCAUGUCCAGGGGUGCUAUUUACCUAGAACCAUUGUCUACUACAAUUAACAUUUACAUUACAAAGUGUGUGGUUUUCUUUCUCAAGGAGGUUCAAUUAAGGCAAUAAGAUGUUUGCUGGGGAAACCUAUUGUUUACUGAAAGCACUCAAUGGAGUCAAAUUACUGAAGCUUUUGCCUACAUCUUGGUCUUUUAUGCAAAUAUGUUAAAUAUAACAUCUAAGGAAAAUAAACAAUAUUAUAAUUAUGUGUUUACCAUUGUCAUAUCAAACUUGCUUUGUAUCAUACUAAUGUUACAUGACUUAUCGAUCAAUAAAAAUACAUUUC